RNA transcript from Vigna unguiculata (cowpea), 2294 nucleotides. RefSeq lists it as uncharacterized. NCBI's taxonomy places the organism in Eukaryota, Viridiplantae, Streptophyta, Magnoliopsida, Fabales, Fabaceae. The record is from RefSeq and is a predicted model, not a curated record.
UGGGCCCAACUUUAAAAAUGCAGAACGAAAAGUUGGCCUCACCUUCAUCCUUCGAUCCAGAGUUUCGUUUCCAAACCGACUCUCGACAUCGACGAAACUGCAAAUUUGAGGAAUGGAUGUGAAUAACUUUAAAACUCAGCUGAAAAAGCACAGUGAUAACAUAAGUGCUCUGGAACGCAAUAUGCAAUACAGCGGGUCCAUAAAUAUGCUCAUGAAAAACCUUUCCGUCAAGAUUGAAUCGAGUCAUGCUCAACAUUCUGAAGCCAUAGGAGCCUUGGGGCAAGAGGAUGAGAAACUAUUGUCAGAUGUUAAAUCAAUGAAAACAGAGAGAGAAAUGAUACGUGGGGAGAUGAAGGAAAUAAACAAAACUUUAGAAAAGCUGAAAACUGAUAAGAUGGAGGGAGAAAGGUUGUUGGGGGAAGCUUAUGACCGUAUCUCAAUGCUGGAUGCUGAAAUGGAGACAUCAAAAAAGAGUACUACAGAUACGAUUGCAGGUUUAUUUUCAAAGCAUGCUAAACUGAUUGUUAAGUUGAAGUAGGCAUGGAUUAUGAUAAAUUUAAAACCCAGUAGAAAGAGCACAAUAAUCAUAUAAAUGCUCUUGAAGACAACUUGCGAUACGAUCGUCGGGUCAUGAAUAUCCUCUUGAAAGACAUUAAAGAGGAGAUUGAAAUGUUUCAUUGUAAGCGUUCCACAGACUUAGAAGCGUUGAUGCAAGAAAAUGAGGAAUUGUUGUUGUCAGAAGUUGAACCAGGGAAGACGAAGAAACAAAUGUGUGAAAACAUUAAACAUGGAUAAUGAAAAUAUGAGUAGAGAUUUAUCUGAAAAGGUUGAAAACUUGGAGCAGGUAUGUGUUGUUUGUAAUUAGUUUCGAGUUCUGACCUUUAUAUUUGAUUUUCAAAUUUAUAGCUGCAAUACAUGCUGAUUGAUUGGUGCUUGAAUGCGUAUUUGAACGUAACCAACAUGUAGGAAGAAAAGUUAAGAUUUGGAUGUACAAACUGAUCUAACUAAAAUGCACUAGAAUGGUGAUAUAUGUUAUGCAAAGUUAUGUAUCGUGUUUUCAAUAUGUAAAUAUGUAAAGCAGGUCCAUCCAUCAUCUGUGUUGGGAUAGAUUGAACUGGCGUUAGGAACAUGAAAACGUUACAUAAUGAAACUUGUUUAUAUGCAAAUUAUAUUAUUAGUAUUGAUGUUUUUAUUGGUAUAGCAGAGUAGCAAGAGAUGCAGAAAAAAAAUAUUAUUAACUUAGGCACAACUCUUGAGGAUAAUUUAGUUAGGCUUGAAAAUUAGGAUGGGAUACAUAUGUCUCUGAAUAACAUAUGGAUUUACAUACUUUAGUCCUACUGAUCAAGGAAGUAAAUGUCUCUCAAUAAGCUUUAUACCGGUUACUAACUAACAGCAUACAGAUUCUGUCAUCCCUAUCUUGGUUACAAUUCUGUCAAAUGUGAAACUGUUCAACCCUUCUUGAGAUUUGUGCAAGCUGUUCUUGGGUGGGUACAUGUAGAGUAAUUGAUAAGCCUCUAUCAAGUUUUUCCUAACUAAAAUGCCUAUUUACUUCAACGUUCUUGGUCUAUCAUGCUUGACAGUGUUAUGAGCUAUGUUGAUUACUGAUUUAUUGUUACAGUGGAUUUUCUCAGGUCCUUUCUAAGUGGAAGAAUACCUAAUAAAACAGAUUUUGGGGCUCUAAUAUCAAGUUUCCCUUGUCUUGGUUAUGUUAGAAGAAAUGAAACACACUCAAAGAUUGAUUAUGCAAAUGAACAAAUUCAAGCAACAUGGAUUCCCGAUGUUUUUCACUUCUUUAGAGCUCAAAAAGUUAGAAUGAAACAACUAAACAACUAAACCUUUCAAACUUGUUUUUGGAUCUUUCAAUAUAUUCAUUUUUUGUUCUGUGAUGGACUAUUUUCAGAUAUAUAAAUCAUGGAAUUUGGUCAUGUGGGUUUCAUGAAAACACUAUGCUCAUUUUGGUGACAUAUAUUUAAAAUGUGGAAUGCAGCUGAGUUUUGUUAUUAUAUAGUUUUCAAUUUUAAGUGUAGCAGAGGAGGGCUGAGGCUGCAUGGAUAUGGAGUGGUCAAGUCAUGACCUUUUGUUUCAUAGUUAAUAAUGCAGUUUUCAAUUUUAAGUGUAGCAGAGGAGGGCUGAGGCUGCAUGGAUAUGGAGUGGUCAAGUCAUAACCUUCUGUAGUCUUUGACAGACAUGUUAGACAAGUAUUCUUUGAUUUUGUAGGGUUUUUUUUGAAUAUGAUACAAUACGGGUUAACCAGAAAAUAAGCCCUCAAGAGUGCAUAACAAACCUUCAGUGGC